UACGUAGGGGGCUAGCGUUGUCCGGAUUUAUUGGGCGUAAAGAGCGUGUAGGCAGCCAGGUAGGUCUGCUGUGAAAACUCGAGGCUCAACCUCGAGACGUCGGCGGAAACCAUCUGGCUAGAGUCCGGAAGAGGAGAGUGGAAUUCCUGGUGUAGCGGUGGAAUGCGCAGAUAUCAGGAGGAACACCGGUGGCGAAGGCGGUUCUCUGGGCAUUACCUGACGCUGAGGAGCGAAAGCGUGGGGAGCGAACAGG
This 253-nucleotide ribosomal RNA is filed under the name uncultured bacterium. Its description in RNAcentral is "partial 16S ribosomal RNA". It matches the Rfam family "Bacterial small subunit ribosomal RNA", at positions 524 to 776 of the family's 1533-position model. The record is from RNAcentral.